AUUCCAGCUCCAAAAGUGUAUAUUUAAGUUGUUGCGGUUAAAAAGCUCGUAGUUGGAUUUUGGGCGCAGGCGGCCGGUCCGUCGCAAGGCGUGUACUGGCCGUCCUGGCCUCACCUCCGGUUCUCCGCCGGUGCCCUUGACUGAGUGUCGGCGGCGGCCGGAACGUUUACUUUGAAAAAAUUAGAGUGUUCAAAGCAGGCGAUUCGCCUGAAUAAUGGUGCAUGGAAUAAUGGAAUAGGACCUCGGUUCUAUUUUGUUGGUUUUCGGAGCGCGAGGUAAUGAUUAAGAGGGACAGACGGGGGCAUUCGUACUGUGCCGUUAGAGGUGAAAUUCUUGGAUUUGUUAAAGACGGACUACUGCGAAAGCAUUUGCCAAGGAUGUUUUCAUUG
Molecule: ribosomal RNA, 389 nt
Filed under: Ascidiella sp.
Lineage: Eukaryota; Metazoa; Chordata; Ascidiacea; Phlebobranchia; Ascidiidae
Description: partial small subunit ribosomal RNA
Rfam family: Eukaryotic small subunit ribosomal RNA
Source: RNAcentral